This 498-nucleotide ribosomal RNA is filed under the name uncultured bacterium. Its description in RNAcentral is "partial 16S ribosomal RNA". It matches the Rfam family "Bacterial small subunit ribosomal RNA", at positions 27 to 507 of the family's 1533-position model. The record is from RNAcentral.
GGAUGAACGCUGGCGGCGUGCCUAAUCCAUGCAAGUCGAGCGAACAGACGAGGAGCUUGCUCCUCUAACGUUAGCGGCGGACGGGUGAGUAACACGUGGAUAACCUACCUAUAAGACUGGGAUAACUUCGGGAAACCGGAGCUAAUACCGGAUAAUAUAUUGAACCGCAUGGUUCAAUAGUGAAAGACGGUUUUGCUGUCACUUAUAGAUGGAUCCGCGCCGCAUUAGCUAGUUGGUAAGGUAACAGCUUACCAAGGCAACGAUGCGUAGCCGACCUGAGAGGGUGAUCGGCCACACUGGAACUGAGACACGGUCCAGACUCCUACGGGAGGCAGCAGUAGGGAAUCUUCCGCAAUGGGCGAAAGCCUGACGGAGCAACGCCGCGUGAGUGAUGAAGGUCUUCGGAUCGUAAAACUCUGUUAUUAGGGAAGAACAAAUGUGUAAGUAACUAUGCACGUCUUGACGGUACCUAAUCAGAAAGCCACGGCUAACUACGUG